RNA transcript from Octodon degus (degu), 676 nucleotides. It is a transcript of the gene named ovomucoid-like, with no coding region annotated. The record is from RefSeq and is a predicted model, not a curated record. NCBI's taxonomy places the organism in Eukaryota, Metazoa, Chordata, Mammalia, Rodentia, Octodontidae. The transcript is spliced from 4 exons.
UUCACAGAAGUUUAACUUUGAUGACAAUUCACAUGAUUUAGCUGCGUUCUUUAACAGAGAACAGAAUGAUUGUAACUUUGUUGAAACAGAAGCGCUGUAACUAACUUACUGUUAAGAGGAGUUGUCUGAGUGGAGAAAAACAAGUCACUGGAGUGUGACCUAGAAGGCCCUGUCUUCCUCCCUGCUACUCCUUUUCCCUCCAUGUGGGCAGCUUUUCCAGUCCAGCCUUCUCUACUGUUCUGUUUCUUCUCUGGAGCUUGCAGACAGACCAUAGCCUGAAACAUGCGCUAAAGCAAACCUGAAGUCCUAAAAGCAGAAUUUCCUCAUCCUGGUGCUUUUGGUGACCACGCAAUUAAGACCAUUUCGUGCGAAGCUUAUGAAAGAGAGGAUGAGCAGGAGAAGCACACAUGCUCCAUUCGACUCAGCCCGCUGUGCGCCUCCAACAAUGUCACGUACCCUAAUUCCUGCGUGUUCUGCUUUGCCAACAUAGCUUUGAAUAAUACUCUUACAAUUCGAUAUGGAGGAAUAUGCAGAAAAGAACCAAAAUCUUCAAUAUGAGAUGAGUUUUCUUCAUUCGUGAUGAACGAAACCUCUUGAACUAAGUAUUGUCUUUCCUUCGUAAAGUGGAAUUUGUUGUGUUGUCUUAUUUUUUCUAAACAAUAAAAAUUUUCCUGUG